AACCCUGCUGUAAAAUCUGCCUUUUCACUCUUCUGGGGUACUUUCCUCAGCAUCAUUAGUGAUCCCCCACCACUGAAUUUUGAAGAAGGCUUGAAAGAUGAAAAAACCCUUUGGCACAAAUCUGUGCUGGGCUUCUGCCAUCAGCUGAUCUGCAACAGUUUGGCAUAACCUCCUUCUUUACACGACUGGGUCCUAGGGUAGCUUUGAUCAAUUUUUUAAAAGUUGGAAAAUCUUUCCCAUUCUUUAAAGAAAAUAUAAGGACUUCAGCAUCCAAGGCCUUAUAACACUUGAGCUGAUUUGUUUGGUGAGCUGAAAUUGUCAUUUCUGGGGAUGAAGGUGUGUUUCAUGAAUGUGCCAUGUCACUCUGUCCUUGUGCACAGCCAUCACCUCUGGAUCCUGGCUGAAGGACAGCCCUCUUCGGAAGGGAGACAGUGAUUCUUUUGUUGUUCAGGUUUCCUUCUGAAGAGAGUAAAGUCUUAAAAGCUUAAGAGAAAACAAGACCUUUUGAUAUCUAUGAGCAUGUGGGCCUUAGAUGAAAAGAUGGCCAAUGAUUCAAGGGGAUGCUGCACCAGACUCUAUGUGAAGAGCAUGAGAGCUUCUGCCCUGGCAGAGGUCAACACUGAUUCAGACUCAGCUAGCUCAUUCUCAGGCCCUUAAUGACUUGCCCUGGAUCCAAUUUUGAGCUAAAACAAAAAGGGAGCCCAGAACUCGGAUCUUCUGGGUGCUGCCAGUUCUGAUGGAAGAAGCAGAUAACAACAAGUCAAAUCCUUAAAAGGACAUCAAAGGAGAAGCUGAAGACCUGGGAGCAAAGGGCUGCAGACAUCAGCAGUGUGUUUUAGCAUCAGGGAGGAGCUGCCGCAAGCCCGGCGAUGUCAGACAAGUGACAAAGGGAGCCUCCGCUUAUGAGGGUACAUAGCCAGACAAAGGACGGGGAUGGGUGAGGGAUUUAGCUCUGGAGCCUGAUCUUUUCGGGAGAAUUGGCCAUAACACACAUAGCUAAUCUGGCUGGGAAUGCCAAGUAGCGAUUGCCCGGGCAGGAAGGGAGCUGCCGAGGAGUGACUCCCUGGCUGCGGGGCUGGCUCCAGCCUCUCCUGCCGGAGCGGGGCCCGGG
RNAcentral lists this long non-coding RNA (1111 nucleotides) under Cyanistes caeruleus (blue tit). RNAcentral's name for it is "lncRNA (ENSCCEG00000009333.1)". Lineage: Eukaryota; Metazoa; Chordata; Aves; Passeriformes; Paridae. The record is from RNAcentral.